RNAcentral lists this long non-coding RNA (247 nucleotides) under Eucalyptus grandis. Its description in RNAcentral is "long non-coding RNA (EGRA_LNC003328)". Lineage: Eukaryota; Viridiplantae; Streptophyta; Magnoliopsida; Myrtales; Myrtaceae. The record is from RNAcentral.
CGGGCCUUGGGUUCGGGGCCCGGAAACGGCCCAAAAGCGGGCCUAAAGCCGCUGGAAACCCACUUCGCGGGUUGCUGUUCUUGGCUGGCCGGAGCUAGUCCGGCGGCCAAAACAGCGAGGCGGGGCCGGCGAAGGGUGAGGGGGACGCCGGGGAGGUCCGGCGGGGUCGAACGGCGGCCGGAGGUGGCCGGACGGGGGCUGGACAGAGGCGAACAGGGCUGAGCAGAGCUGGAUCGCGCGGGGGAGG